UCUCUCUCUCCUACUUUACCCACCACAUACCCCAUACAAAUGGAUCCUCCUUGAUAUUUGUAGGAAUAGUAACAAUGAAAAUGUUUAGGAAACGAAGGUAGUAUCCCUUAAAAAAAAUAUAAAAGUUUCAAGAGACUUAAUCAUUUUUUUUUUGAGAUAUACAAGAGACUCAAUAAUCUACGCCCAAAUAUCUUCAUGCAACCUUAUUACCAGACAUUUCAAAACAAGAAAAACAAAACCCUUCGCUUUCCACCACCAAUCCUCCUCUCUCCUCCUCACUCGUCACCACCGACCUUCCUCUCUUUCUCAAGGCGACAAUUUCUGAAAAUGUCGAUGACGACACCACUUGACGGGUUGCAGUUGUUACUGCUUGACACUUUGUUGCUGAUGUUGGGCCACCUCGCUACUGCUACCGCCUACCCAACGUUUCCGCUUCACGGUUACAGUUCCAAUAACUCAAAUCCUUCUUUAAUUCGCAUCUCAUCAGGGAAUUUUCAAAGGUUGCCAUUAUCAAAAAUCAAAACCAAUUUUGGGUUUUUUUCAUUUUUGAGGUUUAAGGGCAUGAAUUAGAACAAAAUUAGGUACAAGUUAGGAAUGCAAAUGAAGUAAACAAGCUGUUCGCGUAACACUAAUCCCUGUUUAGUGUAACACUUGUGAACAACCAAAGAGAAAUGUUAGUUUAUUAAGGUGUUUUUGUAAAUGACAAUUAUAUUUAUCUAUAUAGUAACUUUUUUAUUGA
This is a long non-coding RNA of Beta vulgaris subsp. vulgaris (sugar beet), 739 nucleotides long. RefSeq lists it as uncharacterized. The record is from RefSeq and is a predicted model, not a curated record. The transcript is spliced from 2 exons. NCBI's taxonomy places the organism in Eukaryota, Viridiplantae, Streptophyta, Magnoliopsida, Caryophyllales, Amaranthaceae.